AUUAUUGAGUCUGUGUUCGACCGGUCAAGUGCACAACAUCGAUUCGUAAAUCGUGGUCUUAUCGAUCUAUCGCGAUCUAUGCUCGUGCCAGGAAAGGGAGAAGAGUGCCGUAGCAAGAAGAAGAUGAAGCUCGUGUCGUGUCCGCAUCCGAUGUUGAUCAAACGUGUAGAACAGUUUAGAAAUAAUUUUGUUGCUCGAAUGUGAGAUAAAGUUUACUGCAGCUGCAAGAAAUAAUAAGCAUCAGAAAUAUGACAAAGCCUGCUAGACAUGCUAUGCCAGGAAAUUGGUGGCAGAAACCGAACGAAGUCCUGCAUAAUUAACUUCACGGCAGAUUGAGAGCAUAAUGCAAAAAUUAUCCUUUCAAUUAUUUUGAAAACCUGCUGCCGUUGGCGCCGAAGUUGACGACG
This is a long non-coding RNA of Mycetomoellerius zeteki, 407 nucleotides long. RefSeq lists it as uncharacterized. The record is from RefSeq and is a predicted model, not a curated record. NCBI's taxonomy places the organism in Eukaryota, Metazoa, Arthropoda, Insecta, Hymenoptera, Formicidae. The transcript has 3 exons.